CAGUAGCCGCGGGAAUACAGAGGGUGCGAGCGUUAAUCGGAUUUACUGGGCGUAAAGCGUGCGUAGGCGGCUUUUUAAGUCGGAUGUGAAAUCCCUGAGCUUAACUUAGAAAUUGCAUUCGAUACUGGGAAGCUAGAGUAUGGGAGAGGAUGGUAGAAUUCCAGGUGUAGCGGUGAAAUGCGUAGAGAUCUGGAGGAAUACCGAUGGCGAAGGCAGCCAUCUGGCCUAAUACUGACGCUGAGGUACGAAAGCAUGGGGAGCAAACAGGAUUAGAUACCCCGGUAGUCCCUGUCUCUUAUAC
RNAcentral lists this ribosomal RNA (301 nucleotides) under uncultured bacterium. RNAcentral's name for it is "partial 16S ribosomal RNA". It matches the Rfam family "Bacterial small subunit ribosomal RNA", at positions 509 to 807 of the family's 1533-position model. The record is from RNAcentral.